This 721-nucleotide ribosomal RNA is filed under the name Comamonas sp. SMCC B0605. RNAcentral describes it as "bacterial SSU rRNA". It matches the Rfam family "Bacterial small subunit ribosomal RNA", at positions 24 to 742 of the family's 1533-position model. Lineage: Bacteria; Pseudomonadati; Pseudomonadota; Betaproteobacteria; Burkholderiales; Comamonadaceae. The record is from RNAcentral.
UCAGAUUGAACGCUGGCGGCAUGCUUUACACAUGCAAGUCGAACGGUAACAGGUCUUCGGAUGCUGACGAGUGGCGAACGGGUGAGUAAUACAUCGGAACGUGCCUAGUAGUGGGGGAUAACUACUCGAAAGAGUAGCUAAUACCGCAUGAGAUCUACGGAUGAAAGCAGGGGACCUUCGGGCCUUGUGCUACUAGAGCGGCUGAUGGCAGAUUAGGUAGUUGGUGGGGUAAAGGCUUACCAAGCCUGCGAUCUGUAGCUGGUCUGAGAGGACGACCAGCCACACUGGGACUGAGACACGGCCCAGACUCCUACGGGAGGCAGCAGUGGGGAAUUUUGGACAAUGGGCGAAAGCCUGAUCCAGCAAUGCCGCGUGCAGGAUGAAGGCCCUMGGGUUGUAAACUGCUUUUGUACGGAACGAAAAGCUCUGGGCUAAUACCCCGGAGUCAUGACGGUACCGUAAGAAUAAGCACCGGCUAACUACGUGCCAGCAGCCGCGGUAAUACGUAGGGUGCAAGCGUUAAUCGGAAUUACUGGGCGUAAAGCGUGCGCAGGCGGUUUUGUAAGACAGUGGUGAAAUCCCCGGGCUCAACCUGGGAACUGCCAUUGUGACUGCAAAGCUAGAGUGCGGCAGAGGGGGAUGGAAUUCCGCGUGUAGCAGUGAAAUGCGUAGAUAUGCGGAGGAACACCGAUGGCGAAGGCAAUCCCCUGGGCCUGCACUG